Lagenorhynchus albirostris (white-beaked dolphin) is the source of this 310-nucleotide long non-coding RNA. RefSeq lists it as uncharacterized. NCBI's taxonomy places the organism in Eukaryota, Metazoa, Chordata, Mammalia, Artiodactyla, Delphinidae. The record is from RefSeq and is a predicted model, not a curated record. The transcript has 3 exons.
AAGCAAGAAAACAGGAAAGGGAUCUAAGACAACAAGGGCAACUCAGUGUUGUGGAAAGAAGAGAGAAGACAAGAUGUUGCAGUGUCAACCCUCAGAUCAGACCAGUUCCUCUGCAGCAGAGAACAGCUCAUGGUCCUACUGCUUCCCUCUGAGGAGACCCCAGUGGACUGCUGCACAGAGGGGCUGCAACAAAGUGAAAGGAACAUGAGAUGCAGAGGAUAAGCAUCUUGCCUCAAGUCAUACACAGACAACAGAGUCAGAAUUUGAAGCCUACCCGUCUUAUUCCAGACUCAGUCUUACUAUCACUCUU